UACGGAGGGGUGCGAGCGUUUGUCCGGAUUUAUUGGGUUUAAGGGUGCGUAGGUGGGUUAAUAAGUCAGUGGUGAAAUACGGUUGACUCAACAAUCGAGGUGCCAUUGAUACUGUUAAUCUUGAAACAAGUGGAGGUUGCCGGAAUGGAUGGUGUAGCGGUAGAAAUGCAUAGAUAUCAUCCAGAACACCGAUUGCGAAGGCAGGUGACUACGUUUGAUUGACAUGAGGCACGAAAGCAUGGGGAGCAAACAGGG
RNAcentral lists this ribosomal RNA (255 nucleotides) under uncultured bacterium. Its description in RNAcentral is "partial 16S ribosomal RNA". It matches the Rfam family "Bacterial small subunit ribosomal RNA", at positions 524 to 777 of the family's 1533-position model. The record is from RNAcentral.